RNAcentral lists this ribosomal RNA (968 nucleotides) under uncultured bacterium. Its description in RNAcentral is "bacterial SSU rRNA". It matches the Rfam family "Bacterial small subunit ribosomal RNA", at positions 110 to 1099 of the family's 1533-position model. The record is from RNAcentral.
GUAAUAUAUAGAUAACGUGCCUCUUAGUCUGGGAUAGCCAUUGGAAACGAUGAUUAAUACCGGAUACUCCUUCUAACUCUAAUGUUAGUCGGGAAAGUUUUUCGCUAAGAGAUCGGUCUAUAUCCCAUCAGUUAGUUGGUAAGGUAACGGCUUACCAAGGCAAUGACGGGUAGCGGGUUUGAGAGGAUGAUCCGCCACACUGGUACUGAGACACGGACCAGACUCCUACGGGAGGCAGCAGUGAGGAAUAUUGCACAAUGGGGGAAACCCUGAUGCAGCAACGCCGCGUGGAGGAUGACGCAUUUCGGUGUGUAAACUCCUUUUAUGAGUCAAGAAAAUGACGGUAGCUCAUGAAUAAGCACCGGCUAACUCCGUGCCAGCAGCCGCGGUAAUACGGAGGGUGCAAGCGUUACUCGGAAUCACUGGGCGUAAAGGACGCGUAGGCGGGAUGCCAAGUCUGAUGUGAAAUCCUAUGGCUUAACCAUAGAACUGCAUUGGAAACUGGUAACCUAGAGUAUGGGAGGGGGAGAUGGAAUUAGUGUGUAGGGGGUAAAAUCCGUAGAUAUCACUAGGAAUACCGAAAGCGAAGGCGAUCUCCUGGAACAUAACUGACGCUAAGGCGUGAAAGCGUGGGGAGCAAACGGGAUUAGAUACCCCGGUAGUCCACGCCCUAAACGAUGAACACUAGUCGUCGCUCUGCCUGUCAGGCGGUGAUGCACUUAACAGAUUAAGUGUUCCGCCUGGGGAGUACGGUCGCAAGAUUAAAACUCAAAGGAAUAGACGGGGACCCGCACAAGUGGUGGAGCAUGUGGUUUAAUUCGAAGAUACGCGAAGAACCUUACCUAGCCUUGACAUUGAUAGAAUACCCUAGAGAUAGAGUAGUGCCUUUCGGGGAACUUGAAAACAGUGCUGCACGGCUGUCGUCAGCUCGUGUCGUGAGAUGUUGGGUUAAGUCCCGCAACGAGCGC